Ribosomal RNA from Sapajus apella (tufted capuchin), 119 nucleotides. NCBI's taxonomy places the organism in Eukaryota, Metazoa, Chordata, Mammalia, Primates, Cebidae. The record is from RefSeq and is a predicted model, not a curated record.
GUCCAUGGCCACACCACCUUGAACGCACCCGAUCUCAUCUGAUCUCGGAAGCUAAGCAGGGUCGGGCCUGGUUAGCACUUGGAUGGGAGACCACCUGCGAAAAUCGGGUGCUAUAGGCA